UACGGGGGGAGCAAGCGUUGUUCGGAUUUACUGGGCGUAAAGGGCGCGUAGGCGGCGUGACAAGUCACUUGUGAAAUCUCCGGGCUUAACCCGGAGCGGCCAAGUGAUGCUGUCGUGCUAGAGUGCGGAAGGGGCUACUGGAAUUCUCGGUGUAGCGGUGAAAUGCGUAGAUAUCGAGAGGAACACCUGCGGCGAAGGCGGGUUGCUGGGCUGACACUGACGCUGAUGCGCGAAAGCCAGGGGAGCGAACGGG
RNAcentral lists this ribosomal RNA (253 nucleotides) under uncultured bacterium. RNAcentral describes it as "partial 16S ribosomal RNA". It matches the Rfam family "Bacterial small subunit ribosomal RNA", at positions 524 to 776 of the family's 1533-position model. The record is from RNAcentral.